This 491-nucleotide ribosomal RNA is filed under the name uncultured bacterium. RNAcentral's name for it is "partial 16S ribosomal RNA". It matches the Rfam family "Bacterial small subunit ribosomal RNA", at positions 29 to 507 of the family's 1533-position model. The record is from RNAcentral.
AGCGAACGCUGGCGGUAGGCCUAACACAUGCAAGUCGAACGGUAGCACAGUAAGAGCUUGCUCUUACGGGUGGCGAGUGGCGGACGGGUGAGGAAUACAUCGGAAUCUACUUUUUCGUGGGGGAUAACGUAGGGAAACUUACGCUAAUACCGCAUACGACCUACGGGUGAAAGCAGGGGAUCUUCGGACCUUGCGCGAUUGAAUGAGCCGAUGUCGGAUUAGCUAGUUGGCGGGGUAAAGGCCCACCAAGGCGACGAUCCGUAGCUGGUCUGAGAGGAUGAUCGCCCACACGGGAACUGAGACACGGCCCAGACUCCUACGGGAGGCAGCAGUGGGGAAUAUUGGACAAGGGGCGAAAGCCUGAUCCAGCCAUACCGCGGGGGUGAAGAAGGCCUUGGGUUGUAAAGCCCUUUUGUUGGGAAAGAAAAGCAGCAGGUUAAUACCCCGCUGUUCUGACGGUACCCAAAGAAUAAGCACCGGCUAACUUCGUG